Chinchilla lanigera (long-tailed chinchilla) is the source of this 68-nucleotide non-coding RNA. NCBI's taxonomy places the organism in Eukaryota, Metazoa, Chordata, Mammalia, Rodentia, Chinchillidae. The record is from Ensembl.
AGAAAUAUGUCUGAAAAAGAGUUACUUUGAUAGAGUAAAGCAUAGAGGUAACAACCCUCUUAUUUCUA